UUGCAGGGGAUGAACAACCAAGGGAGUGUGCAUCGUGAGCAAGCUUGUUUGGGCCUUAGGCCCAAACAGCCAAGGCGUAACCAGGUCCAACUACCAAACAUAACAUGCUGAAGGAAAGAAAAGAAGAAGAACACUUAUGGAAAAGUGCUUAACAUGCUUCGACUACUAUCACCGUUAGCCUCAAUCGCGUUCAAGCAUGAGACAACGCUCGAAUGGAUCGUACCAACACCACCACACUCCUCUGUCUCUCAACCUCGCACCUAACAAUCAUCGUCAUCAUUCGCUGAUACUUCACGGCUCAGGAUAUUUCGUCAAUCGGUUCCGACGCGGUAUCUCGAUGAUUCGACUCUUACAAGAUGAGUAACAACAGCUAUUGUAUCCUACGGCACCGAAUCGAUCUUUGAAUUGCAUCGAAUCAGUAAGAGAGGGAUCUUACCUGAGUGAACUUGUCGUUACUUUCGCUGAGCCUGUUGCGUGCGAAUCUAAGCGUCGAACGGAUUAUGGUACCGGAUUCUCGCAGGAUUGUUGAGCGGCGGAAACGCACGGAUUGACGUUGACCACAGGGAGAUCUUGCAGGUAUUUGGAAGAAGGUUGGAGGCUAGGUAUGCUAUGAAUCCCGUGCGCACGAAAGAGGAACGAAAACUUUUUCAAUGUGGAGGAAGAGGAUGGAAGAACUCGUGAAAAUCGAAUCCAAAAAAGAAGCCCCAAAUUUACUGCGUGUUAGUUUUGAGUUGGUUGCGUUAAGAUGAGCUUGUGGCUCGCGUUUUCAGUUUGGAAGCUGGUUCGCGUUGGAAGCAGCUGUGGGAUUGUCUUGCAGGUGCGUUUAUUUAAGUUGUAGUUGAUGCCGUUUGAAGCCUUGAUGCUCGCUUAGCUCGGUUUAUCAGUUUGCAGUUUUGUUUUGGCUUACACGUGCGUUUUUUGCAGCUUAUGGCUUAUGCAGUUUGUGUUGCAGAUGAUUGUUUCCUGCUGCGUUAUCAAGCAUUUCUCUGCCGCCGCUUUGGCUUAGCAGCUCACUCACGUGCGGCUUUGGUUUCACAUUGGCUGCCGUUUUUCGCUUAUUUUGCUGCUGCGUUAUGUUCAUUUCUGUUUUGCAGCUUGGAGUUGCACUCUUGGCUUAGGUAGCUUGUUGGAGCGCGCGCAAUGUAGCAGUUGUUAGCAGCUUUUGGCAGUUUUUUGCGCGUGUUGAAAGUAGCCGUUAGCAGCUGGGUUUGCUAUUGCAGCUGGUGGCGUGGGCUUAAGGAUCUUUUGGUUUCAUGUGGUAGCAGCUUUUGCUGCGUUUUUGCUUUGCAAUGCGCCUUGUUGUAGCUUAGUGUCUGCUGUACCGGCUUGUGGCCUUUGACAUGUUAUAGCUUACUACCAAUUAAAAGUGAAUACAUGACAAUACUAUAUUAGUAAAUUAAUUAUAUGGAUAAACGAAUGAAAAUUGGACUUGUGGAUUAAAA
Molecule: long non-coding RNA, 1442 nt
Organism: Lathyrus oleraceus (garden pea)
Lineage: Eukaryota; Viridiplantae; Streptophyta; Magnoliopsida; Fabales; Fabaceae
Exons: 2
Source: RefSeq, a predicted model, not a curated record